UCUACGUCUGUGCAAGCAGCGGGGGGAAUACAGAGGGUGUAAGCGUUAAUCGUGAUUACGGGGCGUGAAGCGGACGUAGGUGGCUGGGGAAGUUGGAUGUGAGAUCCGCGGGGUUAACUUGGGAAUUGCAUUCAAGACUGGCUUGCUAGAGUGGGGAAGAGGGAAGCGGAAUUCCAGGUGUAGCGGUGAAAUGCGUAGAUAUCUGGAGGAACAUCAGUGGCGAAGGCGGCUUCCUGGUCCAACACUGACACUGAGGUGCGAAAGCUUGGGGAGCAAACAGGAUUAGAUACCCGAGUAGUC
RNAcentral lists this ribosomal RNA (300 nucleotides) under uncultured Enterococcus sp. RNAcentral's name for it is "bacterial SSU rRNA". It matches the Rfam family "Bacterial small subunit ribosomal RNA", at positions 496 to 795 of the family's 1533-position model. The record is from RNAcentral. Lineage: Bacteria; Bacillati; Bacillota; Bacilli; Lactobacillales; Enterococcaceae.